Molecule: RNA transcript, 1235 nt
Organism: Elaeis guineensis (African oil palm)
Lineage: Eukaryota; Viridiplantae; Streptophyta; Magnoliopsida; Arecales; Arecaceae
Source: RefSeq, a predicted model, not a curated record
UAUAUAUAUAUAUAUAUAUAUAUUAUAAAAGAUGAGGGACGGAAAUCGGAAAUUCGCUGAGAAUCUGACUAUUAGGUUGAGUCUCUAAGUUCCAGGGGGCCGUCGUUGCCGCUGCCUUUGAGUGGGAGAUGGAACCUUUUCGAGCUACAGCUUUACGAGGUCUUGUGGGUCGUCAUGAUGCUUCACCUUCAUAGUGAUGAAUGCCUGUCACUUAAUCUCGAAGGAUUGGCUUUGUCGGAGUUUCGCUCGGAAGUCCAGGUCGAUCCUUAUGGCGGUCUUGAAACUUGGGAUCCUCUAGACAGCGACCCGUGCAAUUGGUCAGGCGUCCAUUGCAUUGACGGCAAGUGGUAGCUGACGCCUUGCCCUUCUAUGACACUAUCUGGAUCUUCCUCUGUAUACUCUUCAGUUUCUUUUAAAUAUUUCAACAAAGGAAACCUCCUAUUUCAUAGGAUCAGGUUCAAAAUGGGCUCCUCUGCACAUAGCCAUGGAGAGAAACAUGGCAUUACCUUAUCAACUGCAGGUUUCGGUGAGCAAUAUAUUAUGGAAAAUGUAUGGCACAUUGUAAAUUCUGUUCAUCGUAAGCUACUUCAGCAGGCUCACAAUCUCCCUGCUGCUGCAUUAAAAGGUGCCAUUCCUCAAGAAGCUGUUGAUGUUCCAUCUACUGGAAGUGGCAAGGACCUACUUGCAGCAUCUAUUCAUCAGAGAAAUGUACCUCCUGCUUGUAUUUCACCUCAUCCCAAAGGCACUCCUCCAAAAGAAAGCAAUACAGCGGACAAUGACUCCGCACUAAGUGGAAUAAUGAGAAAGCGGGCAUUUGUUCUUGUACUUCCAGGACUUGUUUUGCUUCUAUUACUGGAAGCAUUUUCAUGUGCCACAGCCAGGGAUGGAAAAAAAAAGGGCUCCUUGGAAGACCCUGACUAAGUGGUCAGUUGCAGAAAGCAUUCACUGCAGAAGCACUAACUUGCUGGCCAUGGAUUUCGGCCCACCGGCUGAGUACUUCAAUCUGCUAAUCAAGGACAACUUUGACCUGCCAACCAAAUAUAGCUUGGCUGGCUGAUAGAGUACAACGUCAGCCCACUGGUCGAGUACUUUAUCUUACUGAAGAAGCUCUCGGUCUAUAUUUUGGUACUUGAUCGAAGGUUGAUAUUCUCUUAGAACUUCUUAUUCAACCUGCAAAAAGUAUAUUUUUUUAAAAGACUUACUAUCAUUCAAUAUAUAUUGGAUGACUUUUCCAA